GAUGAACGCUGGCGGUAUGCCUAAUACAUGCAAGUCGAACGCAUUCUCGUUUUAGAUUGACGGUGCUUGCACCAGAUUGAAAAGACAUUUGAAUGAGUGGCGGACGGGUGAGUAACACGUGGGUAACCUGCCCAAAAGUGGGGGAUAACAUUUGGAAACAAAUGCUAAUACCGCAUAAAAGUUAGAACCGCAUGGUUCUAAUUUGAAAGAUGGUUUCGGCUAUCACUUUUGGAUGGACCCGCGGCGUAUUAGUUAGUUGGUGAGGUAAUGGCUCACCAAGACAAUGAUACGUAGCCGAACUGAGAGGUUGAUCGGCCACAAUGGGACUGAGACACGGCCCAUACUCCUACGGGAGGCAGCAGUAGGGAAUCUUCCACAAUGGGCGCAAGCCUGAUGGAGCAAUACCGCGUGAGUGAAGAAGGGUUUCGGCUCGUAAAACUCUGUUGUUGGAGAAGAACGUAUGUGAUAGUAACUGAUCAUGUAGUGACGGUAUCCAACC
RNAcentral lists this ribosomal RNA (499 nucleotides) under uncultured bacterium. RNAcentral describes it as "bacterial SSU rRNA". It matches the Rfam family "Bacterial small subunit ribosomal RNA", at positions 28 to 484 of the family's 1533-position model. The record is from RNAcentral.